GACGAACGCUGGCGGCGUGCUUAACACAUGCAAGUCGAACGGAAAGGCCCUGCUUUUGUGGGGUGCUCGAGUGGCGCACGCGUGAGUAACACGUGUGUAACCUGCCCUUGACUUUGGGAUAACUUCAGGAAACUGGGGCUAAUACCGGAUAUGAUCUCCUGCUGCAUGGUGGGGGUUGGAAAGUUUCGGCGGUUGGGGCUGGACUCGCGGCUUAUCAGCUUGUUGGUGGGGUAGUGGCUUACCAAGGCUUUGACGGGUAGCCUGCCUGAGAGGGUGACCGGCCACAUUGGGACUGAGGUAGGGCGCAGACUCCUACGGGAGGCAGCAGUGGGGAAUAUUGCACAGUGGGCGGAAGCCUGAUGCAGCAACGCCGCGUGCGGGAUGAUGGCCUUCGGGUUAUAAACCGCUUUCGCCUGUGACGAGGCGUGAGUGACGGUAAUUGGUAAAGAAGCACCGGCUAACUACGUG
RNAcentral lists this ribosomal RNA (468 nucleotides) under uncultured bacterium. Its description in RNAcentral is "partial 16S ribosomal RNA". It matches the Rfam family "Bacterial small subunit ribosomal RNA", at positions 28 to 507 of the family's 1533-position model. The record is from RNAcentral.